Octopus bimaculoides (California two-spot octopus) is the source of this 83-nucleotide non-coding RNA. NCBI's taxonomy places the organism in Eukaryota, Metazoa, Mollusca, Cephalopoda, Octopoda, Octopodidae. The record is from Rfam.
AGCACGUUGGCCGAGUGGUUAAGGCGUUGGACUUAAGUUCCAAUGGACAAGUGUCCGCGUGGGUUCGAACCCCACUCGUGCUA